This is a non-coding RNA of Arachis ipaensis, 1230 nucleotides long. The record is from RefSeq and is a predicted model, not a curated record. NCBI's taxonomy places the organism in Eukaryota, Viridiplantae, Streptophyta, Magnoliopsida, Fabales, Fabaceae.
AAGGAACUUCAAGCUGGAGUGGACCACUCUUAGACUGGUAUAAUCCUGCACUGCAUUACUCUUGUGACUAUUUUCUUGUACAAUAUACUUUCUCAUGCACCUUUUUAUAACCAUUGUGAAUAAGGGUUUUGCUUUUCCUACAUUGAAGUAUGUACAAGAUAAUCAUCAUGCCCAUGGUACGGCCUAUUUUACUGUGAUCAUAAUAAAAAAAGCACAAGCAUUAAAUUUAUCUCGUGUCUUUUUUCCAAUUUUCCACAAAAUUCUUAGAUUGUUGCUUUUUUACCUUUUUUUUACCCUACUUGAGAGCAUGUUAAAACUUGGUUAUUUGGAGCAAAUAAUGUUGAAAGCAAGGUUCAGCGGCUGAUAUAGUGAUCUCAAAACAGUAUUCCUCAACUAAAGGAAGAAAUGAAUUCUGAGGCAUGUCUUUUGAGUAAGUUUUGAAUAGUAUUAUGUGGCUAUUACUGUUAGGGGAUUUUGGCCAUAAUGCGAAAUAUAAACUACAUACAACAUAGAAUGUUUAUUAGGAGGUUAUAAUUUUGUUAAUUCAAGGAUAAACCCUUGAGAAUGAUGAAAUCUUCUACUUUCAACUUUUGCCUUUGUCAUUAAUGGUUUUUCUUCUUUUUAUUGUUUUCUGUCAGCUACUUUUGCACCACCCCUUGACUCACCCAAAUCUAAGGCCUUUAUUACAUUUCUUGGUGUUGCUCUUGCUUGCUCGUGGCCCUCGUUGGUUUGCAAGAGACGAAUCGGAGCAAACUUGGAUUAAGCCUAAUUAGGAGACCAAAGGAAUCUGGGCAAGAAUGAUGGAGGAACAAUGAAUCCCAAACAAAUCAGAUGAGGUGCAGUCUCUGCAUCAAUUCAAAAGCAGAAUUCAUGGAAGACAUCAUCCUCGUACAAAAUCAAAAGAAGAAAUGGAUGAUGAAAAACAUAAUUUUGCAAGGACAAACAGACCAAUCAAAAUACAACAUGAUUACCUUCAAUGAUAUGGAUACAGUUGGAGCAACCUGUCAAAAAUAAGCAGAAAGCUUACAAAAUUUUCAAAGAAAAAAAGGAAGGACAAACUUAGUUUUAUAUUUUUAUUUACACUGAACAAUUAUCUUUUUUUUUUUCUUAAGAGUUUUCAUGCCUUCAUCGUUUCAUUCUAUUUUAGGAGAGCUGAUAUGAGUUAUACUGUUUAUACGAAAGAGAGAGCUUAGAAAGUGAGAAUCAAUUUCUGUUAUGAAAAAGGCAGAG